Molecule: long non-coding RNA, 4926 nt
Filed under: Homo sapiens (human)
Lineage: Eukaryota; Metazoa; Chordata; Mammalia; Primates; Hominidae
Description: HSALNT0385817
Source: RNAcentral
GCGCGCGGCAGCAGGGUUGGGCUCUCGCCGUGAGUCGACGAAGGGAGCGCGGGCGCGCGCCCGCGUCCGCGCACUGAGAGUCGCCUCGGCCGCUCGCUUUCUCGACUCCCGCCUCGCGCCUCGAUCCUGUUCCGCCUCCCUCGGCCCUCCUGCCCGCCCCCACUCGUCGGCCCUCAGGUUCCUGGAAAGUGAAAAUUUCAUUUCUUUGUGGACAGGUACCUAAAAUGUCUCAUUAUUCAUCAAUUAAUGAAAAACAAAUGAAAAUUUGAGAGAGAUAUUCUGAAGAAUAAAAGGAUCAAGUUGGGUCAUUUCUAAAAUGUAAGAUUAUAAGGUUUAACUUGCUAAGACUUUUGAGGGGUUGAAUUAUUGGUAAAUUAUUAUAGAACCACUUAUCUGAGGCUUUUAAAAGUGAUGUGUUACAGAGAUUUAGGGAACUGCAAGAUUGCAGAUAAAGAAUUUAUACUGUCAACUGUUCUAUACUUUACCUUCUGCUUUAAAUGCGGCCUUAUAUUUUGAAGUCAAACAUUUAUUUUCUCUCACUGCGUUCUGAAUUUCCUACCACAGUGCAUUUUGAGAAAUGAAUAUAACAGCAGUCUUCAUAGAUGCCAUAUUCAUGGCAACUCUGUCCCCCGCCAACACCACACCCUGGAAAAAAACCAACUUUCUAUUGUUGGAAUGAGGUAACAUUUUCAGGAAAAGGGAACCAUUUUCUCACAGGAUAUAGAACAAAUUCAACCUUUUAUUAAAUCAAAAUGGAUUCUCUAAUGUUUAUACAUAUCAUAUAGGAUUUCAUCUCUUUCAAUCUUGGUUCAAAGGCCCAGACAGUACCAUUCCCUAGUAUUUAGUCCAUUUGCUCAUAAAGCAGAAGAGAAAAGCUACUUUGUUCCGAAGGGUGUUAGAUUUAGGAUUCCAAGGUUAUUUCAAAUUAAUGCCUGGAACUAGACUAUAAAAUGCAGGAAAGAUUCUAAGUUGUUCAAAGAUGAAAUAUCUUAACUUUCACCAAAAACUCUGUCUUCUGGGUAUUUUUUGUUUUUCUGCCUUUCCAGAUUUAUUUUAAAUACAACAUUUUUGCUGUUUACAUUUUUAAAAGUUACAUUUCAAAAUUGUUCAUAAUUGGACACUUUCAUAAAAUGUAGGCAAAUGCAGUUUUACUUUUUAAUGAAGGACAAGUCUGUUGAUAACAUUUUGAUUCUUAAAAUUUUUUUUAUCUUAUAAAAAUGAAACAAUGCAUUUAAAGUGUCUUCAGCUCUUAUGUUAAUACCAAAUUAUACAUUUUCUUAGCCCAUGUUCAGGAGAGACAAUAUAUCUUCCAAAUUAAGAGAAGCUGGCACCAUUUUUAAAACAAGGCCUUGAAUCUGCUGUGGUAUGUGCUGGUAGGAAUUUUGUAUGAAGCUGUUAUUGAAGUAGAUGACAUUAAGGUCAAAGGAAAAAAAAAACAGAAAAUAAUGUAAUCCUACAGAGCUGCUCUUAAGAUCUUGAGAGAAAAACCACGUAGGUAACAUCAAACACUAGUUGGAAUCUUUCCAAGAAGUAAUUAUCUGUGUGCUGUUUGUGGUGGUUGAUUAUGGGAACAAACCAAGGUUUAGCCAAUUCAGCAAACAUUUAUGGAGUGCCUGCAAUGUGCAUGUCACUGUUUUAAGGCCUGUGCCUACUGUAAAGGUGACCCACACAUGAUGCCUGCCUUGCAGGACUUGGAGUUCAGCGAUAAUAAGAGAUGCAUACCUGAAAAGCCUAUUUAAGACUCUUCCGGUUCUACAAAGAAGGCUUCUUGAAAGUGGUAGCUUUGAUUACUCUUUGGAUUUAUUUACAUUUAUCCUAUAAUCAGAAGGUAUACAAAACAGACUCACACAUAUAUAAAAUUAAUAGAUUAGAUAGCAUUUAAACAAAUAUUUCAGGUAGGUACUUCAAAUGCAUUUGACAUUUAUCAAAGAAAUGGUAAGUGCUGUCAUCCGUGGGUGGCUGGAUUAACAUGUGGGACUACUUAUCACCAAUUUUGUUAGGGAUCUUAGGGAAAUUCCUGGAUCUUAUAUUCACAAGCAAUUGUAUAAAUACUUCCCACAGCUCAGAGACCUAAUAGGAUGGGGUCUUAGAGAAACAUCUUUUGAGCCACAGACUUCUUUGUUACCAGAAGGAAAAUGAAAGAAGAAAUUUAAAUACCACUUGAAGAGAGCUGAUCGCCACCAACUGGCCUCUGGGUGGAUUUGGCCAAUGGAAGCACCUGUAGAGGGAAGAGAGUGAGGUUAGGAUAUUUCUUCCUGCUGUCUCCGUGCUUCCCUGCAGAGAGUGUGAAGAAAUGACCCUGAAAAGCCUCUGGCAGAGGAUUCUUCUUUCAGGAUGGUGUCGCCUCCUCAGCAGCCCAUCCUCCUCCCCUGGACUCAAGCUCUCAUUCCAGUAACACUCCUUCCUCCUUCUCCAUCUUCAGGGGGAGGUUUGCCAGUCGGUGGGUUCUAAGCAUAUCUCGCUGAUUCCCCCCAACCCUGCCGACACCUCUGUAGGUCGUCCCUUCAUUAAAAUCUCUCCAUUUGAACUAUCUGAGUUUAAUUCCAUUUCCUCCUGGUAUCUCAGUGAUACACGGUAUCAGUACAAAAAUCUCGCUUCACCUUCAGAACCAACAGAUUUGAGACAUUUUAUCCUCUGUGGAACCAUUAGUUAUUUUGUCAUUGGUUGUAUCAGAAAAAAAAAUCAGGAAUGCAAAUCCUUCUUUAUUACAGAUUCAGAUUUGCAUAUUACCAAUGUUAUAUAUUUUAAACAAAACUAUUCAUCAUAAGUUUUAAAAAUUAACUACUGGAGUAGUUAAUGAAUCUGAAUGUAAUUAUGUAGCUUUCAUAAUAUUAAAGUAAAAAUACUAAAAGAAGUAUUUCUUAAAGAAGCAAAUGCUCAAUCUCCAAGUAAAUUUUAUUCUAUGCUCUUCCGGUAUAAGAAUAUGUUAAUAUCUUGAAAAAUAUCAUAUUAUUUUGUGAACUCAUAAAGCUAUUUUGAGUUUUUGUAAAAUGAAAACCUUACCAAAAUGUAUUUUAUUGUUGGAAAGCUUGACCGUUACUGCUGUUUAAUUUUUUGAGCUUGUAAACUUUAUUUGUGCAUGUUUUCAACAAAGAAGGAUUUUAUUGUUAUUACAUAAAACAGGUGAUUUCUAGAUUUUAAAAUCACAAAUUGAAAGCAAGGCACAAUAAUAUAUAUUUCAAGAUAUAGGUACUUAGGAGGCAUCCUUUUAGUCAUCUGUUCAAUGUAGCCAUCUAUUUUACACCUACUGUCUACUAUUGUUUGAGGUCCUUGCCAAAGUAUUGCAGGCUAGUUAGGAAACAUAAAACAAUUAGAAAGUAAUCUAUGACAAGUAAGCUAUCUAUAAAUGGCAAUGAAGGGUAGAACAAAUUCAAUGAAAAUAUCUAUUUAAUCCUAGUGUUUACUGGUCUAGAAGAAUAGGCUGAGUAAAUUAGUAUUUCUCUGGCUGUUGUGGUAACACAUUGCAUGCUAUAACAGUUUUAAGUAAUUACAGGUGCAUUGAAAUUUAUCUAUGGCUUUGUCAUCAUAUUCUAAAAUGUCAUGAGUACUUUUUUCUGACCUCAAUUACUAUGAAAUUGGUUUCCAAUAUUUAAUUAACCAAGAAUAUCAAGUCUAUAGGGUAUUAUUAAGGUGAGACUUCUGUAGCCUUUUCAAUAAAGACCAGAAUUUUGGAGUGCCUUGAACCUUAAUCAUUGAUCUUUAAUUCUUAUUAAGUCAACUGCCCACCUUUUAAAGACUGAGGCCCAGGAAGAGUAAGUUUCUCUGAGACAAUGCAUACAGUACAGUGCUUCUUGGGUAUUGGCUCUAAGACCAGAUGCAAAGAAAGGCUAAAAUCCCAUUUCAUUGUUCAUUAGGUGAGAACCCUUUGUUAAGCUGUGUAACCUCUGUGCAUAGUUUCCUCAUCAGCAAAGUCAGAAAAAGUAUGUACCUGAAGGACUGAUUGUAAGGCUGGGAUGAGAGAAUCCAUGUGAUCAGCCCUCACCAACAGGUGCUGCCCAGUUCAUGAGUGCUGCUGCUGUCCUGCCCAAGUACCCAGCUUGCAGAGUGCCAGAGUUAGAGUCCCAGGGGUGUUCUCCACAGCUGCAUGCUUGAUCCAGGCCUAUCAGGUGAGUUGGCUCUUGGCUAGUGGUUUUUCUUCUCUUGCUGUACAAAAGUCCAGACAGUAAUGUCUUUUUUUCAUUUUUAUAGAUAUAUUCCAUUGAAAGUCCUCAUUCUCAAAUUUAAAACAAAGACUUUUUGUGUACCUCAAUAGCAAUGCACACACAGUUGGCUUCACAAACAUAUUGUACAUUUCUUUUUUUCAUAUUUAUUCAACAAAUGUAUAUUGACUACCCACCGUGUGACAGGUGUUAUUUGUUGACGGAACCAGGCAUCAUCAGCAAACAAAACUGACAAAGCUUCCUGCCCUCUGUGGAAGGCAUCUGAGGAAGAGACUGGAUUUUGUAGCAACAUGUUAUUCUCAUUAUAAACUUUAUCAUUGGAAUACUAAAGCCAAAUCAUCCCCCAUCUCCUUGAUCAGGAUACCCACUUAAUCUAGGCAGCUACACAAUUGUGAGAGCCUUUGUUUUUUUCUGCUGAAACAUCCUUAAAAAGAUACCUCACAACCCAAGAUUUGGCUUUUCUUAAAUACGAUUUUUAAUUUUUUUCAUUUCUAUCUAGAGAUUUAAUUGGAAAUGGAAAAUCAUCAAUUUUCCAAUUAAAUGUCUGUUCCAAUCAACAUUAUACCUUUUAGGUUGUCAUUGUCAUUUUUAAGUUUAAGCAACUUUAAGGAUUUUGAAUCUGGCUGCCUGUAAAUUAAAGGUGAAAGUAAUCAUUGUGUUGGAUUGGAACAUUUUGUCAAUUGAGAGUGGUUUCCUUGUUCUUAGUGUAUGAAAAGUUUAUUUUUCUAAUGUAGAUUAAUAAAGGAGAUAAAGAAAAACAAAAUGA